AGCAAAAAACAACUACAAAUCUGCCAAAAAUAAAGAAAAUUUUUACAGCGCAUAGUAUUCUAUAAAAAAUCCAUCUACUGCUUCACAACCGCAAGGACCAAUCUUCCAGCCUCUUCAAGAAAUGAUAAUCUCAUAUCCCUUUUGCAUCAUGGAGAAGCAACAAAACCAUAGCAAGCUAAACUCCCGAAUGACUAUGAGCUACUAACUCUUAAAAAUCAAUGUCUCACAAUUGAUAAAAUAACCCUUAGUAGAAGUAACAAGCCUUUCAUAUAGUCACAUAGCUGGUUUUUCUUUAAAAGCAUCAAAGUGCUGCCUUAUAGACACAAGUAUCACGCUACAACUCUAUAAAGUUUAACUUACUGAGGAUAAGCUCAGUAAGAACACAAAAAUACCUUACUUUUCUUAGCUUUCUAAGUAGGCUUAAAAGCAGCCACCUAACAACGUUCUAGUUAUAACACUCAAAUAUCUCAAUAUUUAUUCUACAUCAUUUUAACCCAUUAAAGAAAUUUAUCAUAAAACACCAUAUGAUAAUAAACAGGCAUUCUAUUAGUAUUAACAUAACUUUACUUUUCAUAACCUUAAAAGAACCUGAAACAUCCAAUAUUUUCAUCUUACAAACUUAUACAAAGCGAACUCGGCAAAUAAAUUCCCUGCCUGUUUACCAAAAACAUCGUCUUUUGAGUCAACUCUAAUAAAAGAUAAUGCCUGCCCAGUGAAAUUUUAAACGGCCGCGUUAGCGUGAGCGUGCUAAGGUAGCGUAAUAAUUAGCCUUUUAAUUGAAGGCCAGUGAAUGGCAAGACUAGGAAUACCUGUACUUUGUAUACAAAAAGAAUUUUUCAUCUAAGUGAAAAGACUUAGAUAACAAAGGAAGACGAAAAGACCCCGCGGAACUUUACCUCUUCUCAUACUUCUGUUCACCCACUUAAAGGUAUGUGAGGUUUGAUUGGGGCAAUCUUGGAACCAAUAAAGCUUCCAAUUUUUACUAAGAAAUAUCCAAAACUUACUAAGGACUAAAAAGUAGUUACCCCGGGGAUAACAGCGUAAUCCAACUCAAGAGUACACAUCGAAAGUUGGGUUUGCGACCUCGAUGUUGGCUUAAGGAAAUCCACAUAAGUGCAACCGCUAUGACAGGAUAGUCUGUUCGACUAUUAUACCCUUACACGAGCUGAGUUAAGACCGGCGCAAGCUAGGUUGGUUUCUAUCUCCUUUUUCUUAAAAAUUUUCUUGAUUGUACGAAAGGACCCCAAGAAAUGCACCACACAUAAAGCAACCUUAAACUUAUUCAUUAAACUGAGUUCAACUACUAA
This 1307-nucleotide ribosomal RNA is filed under the name Cuneopsis celtiformis. RNAcentral's name for it is "16S ribosomal RNA". The stretch from base 865 to 1208 matches the Rfam family "Archaeal large subunit ribosomal RNA", at positions 2150 to 2716 of the family's 2987-position model. Lineage: Eukaryota; Metazoa; Mollusca; Bivalvia; Unionida; Unionidae. The record is from RNAcentral.